Molecule: long non-coding RNA, 713 nt
Organism: Vespula pensylvanica (western yellowjacket)
Lineage: Eukaryota; Metazoa; Arthropoda; Insecta; Hymenoptera; Vespidae
Exons: 2
Source: RefSeq, a predicted model, not a curated record
UAAGAUAAAGAUAUAGAUUUAAAAAAAAUGUUAGAACGUUUCUAUACGUUUAAUUAACUUCCACGUACUUCCAUGUAUUUCCACGUAGUACACGUAUUUGUAAAUAUAUCGUCCUAUGCGAAAGGAACGUUUAAAAAAAAUUCUUCAAUUCCUCGAAAUACGUCGACCAAAGCUAAUAUUCGUAGAUAUUUUGAAGAACGCAAAACAUGAUUUCAUAAUAAUUACAUACAUAUGUAUAUACAAAAGCGAUAAGAACACGUUGUCCUUCAGAGAAAAAUAAAGUUAUUUACGUCCAUUCAAUACUAGCAAAAUAAACACGACAAGGUGAGUCAAAAAGUGUAACGCAAUUCUCAUUCGCAGUACUACACGCGUACUCGUCUCUUUCCGAAUGCUCAGUCAUCAAAGUAAGUCGGAAGAAGAAGGUCGAUCGAAUAGCAUUUUAGUCUUCAACUAUGGCCCCGGAGACUACUUUCUCCUUCGUGUUACCACUACAUGCUCUUCCAUUUAAUAUGCAUAGCAACGUGCAGACUUUAUCUUCUUACUAUAGCGAGCGAAUAAGUUAAUUUUGAAAAUAUCUGUAUAACAGUUAACUAUUCUUAAUAACCUAUUACAAUUCACAGAAAUUUUCUUAUUAAUAGAGAAAAUAAGUUUAAUAAUUUAAUUUAAUCUAAGAUACGUUUUAUAUGAAAUAAAUUAAAAAAGUUCUUCGCUGA